UUUGGUCUCCCUUCACAGGCUGGGAAAGGAGAACGUGGAUCCACCUGAGCAGAUCAGAACUGGGAUGGAAAUUUCUCAGGCUGCCCAUUACAAAACAACUACUAUGCAUUCACUUCUCUCUCUUCCUCCCCCAGAAAGCAGCAGCUGAAAUGAGAGACACCAAGAUCUGCCAGAGAUCUUAUUUUUGCCUCAUCCACCCUGUCAGGGUCUUGCACACACCACUGUAGCAAAACACUCGCAAAUUGUAAUUUAGAUCUGCCUGCUACAUAUUCAACUGCACAGGAACAAAAGGCUCUCCUUGUAUUGUGAGUAAUUCCUUCAAAUACCAGCUGUUGCCUGAUUUCUCCAGAAUGGCCAACUCCUACAAUUUUAUACAGCGAGUAGUACUACACACAAUGACUUUCCACUAAAAUAAUUUUCAUACCUAAGGACCUCAUCUCUGAAUCUGGGAUUUAAAGUCAAUUUUUACCCUCAGUGAAUAAAAGCUGAGUGCCUCUAAUGCAAAAAUCAGAAGGCAACACUCACCUAGCUCUGUGUACUAAAAUCUGAAUAUUACACUUUUUUUGGAUGCAACUUGACUACUUCCAUGCAAAAAAAGAAACCAGGGAGAGUCAGGGCCCAAACUAGAAGUAUCCCAGCUCUGCAAGUGAGGACAGGGACCUUCAAGUUGAGAGACCUUUUCAACAGCUGCACCGAUGAUUUCUCAGGAACGGGCUCCAAAUUAGCCUCGUCAAGUUAUUUCAGAGCCACAGGAGGGCAAGAUGUGGAGGAGGACUUCAAGGGUGCUUUCAAACGAAUUGAAUCAGAGGUUUACCCAACCCCGCUCUUUCAGAAGUUUCUGAAUAACGCACCAGCUUGAACCACUGGAAAGAAACAAAUAAAUGAGCUGGCAACUUUCACAGGGAGGAGCCUUGAAGCCCAGUUCCCAAGACCACGCCAGCCAGCUCCGUGUGACAGCACACAGGAAUGAAAAUAGGUAGGUAACAUUAACAGAAAUACACUGAAACUUAAUAACAGCAGCUUGUCAGGACAUGCACCAAAGAGAAAUGGCUCAUAAUAGCUACAGCUUGUAUUAUGAAUGUUUCAUAGCCAUCUGGCUACAGAGCUGCCUGAACUCAGCUCAUGUGUUGUGUGUGCUGUGCUGACCCACCAGGCACGCUCUGGAAGGAGAUUAUCAAGCUCAAGUCAAGCAUCUGUAUUAAAAAGAGACACCAUUUCUCUUGUCAGAUUGAAAAUGCUUUGGAAUAACAAGGCAGCAAUGAACAGAGCUAAAGAGCUAAGGCUGUGUCCUCUUUUGGUGUAAAUCAGGAAGUUUUGCUCAGGAUAAAUGGAGUUAUCCCAAUUUACACUGACUAUAAGAUCCAGCCCCAUUGUAUCAACCCCUUGUUUCAGUCAUAAGUUCCAUGUGUCUAUCAGUAGCUUAAAGCAAAGGCACAGUUUAAAAGGAAAAGUAAUCCCCCUGCCUUUCCUCUCCUGAUCUGAUUCACAUACAAAAUGGGCUUAUGAACUCAAAAAUUAUGGGAGGGAUUCGAGGAGGAGGAAAGGGAGACACAAGAGCCCUUUUAUUUUGCGUCUUAUUCACAAUGAAAAUUGGCACAGAAGCCAACCACAUACAUUAACAUAGUUUGGGCAAGUUUAACUCUCAUGAAUACAUUUCUGUGGAAAAACUAUGUGACUAUGGAAAAAUCCCCUCUUUUUUGCCAUUUGAAAAGAUAACAGGCUUCUAUGUGGAAUAUACCCAGAACCUGCCUGAUUCAGAGACAUGGAAAUACAAAGAUGAAUAAGGCUGUUUCCCAUGCUAGGGGCCCAUGGAAACUGGAAGGGGAGGAAGCAGUAAGGAGGCCCAUUGACUCGGGAGAAAGACUUUCAUCCUACAGGUGAAGGAAGUAUUUGAAGGCACUGGUAACAUUGCAGGCCUGUUCCAGAGCCCAUUUUAGUCACUGACAACAUCACGUUGACUUCACUGCAAUGUGGGUUAGGGCUAAAUAAUUUUAAAAUAUAAUCCAAGGCUAUUUCCACAUCACUAUGUAGUGAGUGGGAUCCAGUUCAGGUGUGCCCAGCCCUGUGACUUACCUGCCUUUUGUCCAUAUUUCUGGCUGCUAGCCUGACUGCUGCUUGGGCCCUAAGUCUCAACAUUGCACUGAGGAAGAGCUGAGCACGGGAUCUUUUUGAAGGUCUGUCUCCAACGGGAAUGCACACCAGACUGCACCCAUAACUAACUCAGGCAACCCAGAGGAAGAAAAGUUCUGGCCACAUGUAGUGGGGCAUCAACUGCACCUCUCUUCUGUCCUCCCCUCCUGUAUACUCUCUCCAAACUCAGGCUGAGGAGGGCUCGUAGUGGGAGUGUUCACCAAGAGCAGAGGGUAUGUCCAUUGAACAACAUGGGCAUUCCUUUGUGUGAUGAUAUAAGUGCAUGGCACCCGGAUUUUGGAAUUCAAAUCCAACCCAGCUGCAGUGAUGAGUUCUAGGGUCCUCUGGCCCAACUGCAGUCCAGAUGUAGCCUUAAGAAUUCUGCAGGAUUUCACAGGUACACAAAAAUAGUGACUUUGACUCCUAGAUCCCUAAUUACAACCUACAAGCUAUUGCCAUUCCCAUAAAAAACCCCAUCUCCUUUGCUCACUGGCACUGUGCAAUGCUAGUCCUGCUCCAGCGCCACAUUCCUGGCAGAGGAUGGUAACCUCAGAAUGAAUAUUUUCUUUUGAAUGAAUGUUUGCUUUAUUAUUAUCAGAUACAAUAGUUUGCAUUGCAAGUCCUUCAUCAGAUCACUUCAGAUGUACAUCACUGUAUCAGGCCUUUAAUAUCAUGCUAAUUUGUUUCAUAAAUUACUAAUUGAACUCCAUAAAUGACUCAUAUUGGUAUGGCAAGUAUCGCCAUAGAGAGAACUCCGUGAUCUCAGAGGAGGAUAAAUCACAGAGCCAUCCUCUCCUGCUAUGUAACACAAAAUUGAACAGUGGGCUAGGAGCAGGACGGGGGAUUUUCUUCCACAAUUAGUGCAGAGCCCUUAUCUCUGUGAUGCAUCUCAUUACCACGUGAAUUGCUCCUGUCCCAGUGUGGAGUUUCCACUGAUGUCAGUGUGUGGAAGAAGCGAGGUGCACAGACCCACACAUCGAGGGCAAAGGAUCUGUGGAUCAGAUCAGGAACAUUCCUUUUCAAGGGCAAGUCCAUCCAAAGUGCUCAGCUGCUUUACUGACAUCUAAUGCACAUCAUCACUGAUGUCAUUGCUGAGUUUGCCUCCACUGGAGAGACUGGGUUUGGCCAGGCUCAGAAAACAGGACUUUUCACAAGUUGUGCAGUGCUGGCCACUUCCUGCCACACAAAAUGCUGCUUUUGCUUUUUCCAAUACAACUGCCUCCAAAGACCGCCUAGAAACAAAGUCACACCUUGCCUGGCUUGGCGGCUGGUGAAGGAUACCUGAUUAUUUCAGGGCCACUUUUCCAAAGGCACCACUCUGUUUCUUGCUGGGCUGGAGGGAGGUCGGAGGCCUUCAGGCAGGUUUGUCUGACUGACCCUUCGCUCACUGACCUGCUGUUGUUCCCCAGGAGCCAGCCUCACCACCACUUGCCUUGCAGCAAAGGAUGGGGUAUUUUUCUAACCCAAAUCCCAACAAUCUGGUAUCUACACCUGCUCAGCCGCAUUCACCUCCCACCAGAGUUAAUGGAGUGAGUAGGCACUUCUGGGAAGAAAAUCACCUGGCCUACAGCAGAUGCCUCCCUUAGGAUGAGAUCAGUAUCACUCCCAGGCAGCUGCAGAGGACAUUUGGCUUCUCAUCAGCCGUCCCUGUCCACCUACAUCCCGAGGAAUUCCAUCCCAGACCAGCAGGAUGUGCUUACUGGGAUCAGCAGGUGGUGUAUGUUCAGCUGCUCUCAGCAACACUCAGCUCACCUGUUCCCAGCGAGGGCAGCUGCCAUCAGGGAAGCAGUGCCCUGUGAAUGUGCCCUUCAGAGGGUAGGAGAGCCCAGAUUUGUAAGGCAGACAUCAAAGUGCUCUGUGACAUGCAGAUGUUUUCCAUGCAGAGGCUGAGAAAAGUGAUGGCCAAGACUUUGUAAACCCCACGCUGUAUUUUUUCCUUCAUUUUCUCCCUUACAUCCCCCAUUACCUUGCCUUCUCUUAUGUGGAAGAACAAAACUAUUAAAAAUGAUGGGCUGUAUCCUCAGCUGGUAUAAUUUGUUGUGACUUCACAGAGCCAUGCCUGUUUACACAAGCUGCAAAUUUCUCCCAUCAAUUUAAAUCUCUACAGAUUUACAUCAUGGGGAACAGCUCUACAUUUUUUCCCAUAGCUAAUAAGCUUCUUCAAAAAAAGAAAAGACAAACAAGCACUCUUGACAUCUAUUAAACUUGUAUUUGGAGAUAAAGAUUUCAAAGGAUGCCUUCUCCCACCCUAUCUCACGUCCUUCUUCCUGCUCCUCUGUUUAUUAGAGGGUCUUUCCAGUGUCACAUGGGCCAAAGCUGAGCUGAGUUGCCAAGAACGGUGCCCAUGGGUGAACCCAUGGCUGGAUCUGCUUCCUGACACGUAUCUCUGUUCCCUUUUUAUCUCCCCAAGUAGUGCCGCAACCCAUCCCAAAAAUCCCUGAGUCCUGCUGAGGUCAGAGCUCUCUUCACUACCACCCAGGCUCACUCACAGGAUGCAGUGAAAAAUUCCUGCUCUGUUUGAUCAAGGGCAGAAAGUUCAGUGCUCAGCUCCCUCAGCCUGGGUGAAUUCCUUAACCAACAAACUAAAGCCUCUUUUUUAAAAUGUUCUUCAUCCAUUACAUUUUCAUUCCAAGAAACAUUUCAUCUUCCUAUCAAAUAAAAGCACACUUGAAACUUCAACAUUUUCUACAAAAUUUAAUUCUUGUGUUCCCACUUGCCCCAACCAGAAGUGCUUAGCCCCAGGUCUGUAGAACACAUUGCACCGUGCUGAUUUUGUGCUGUCCUGCAGAGAAACAUGAGGAGGUUUCAUGUGACAUUACCAACUCACCUCCCACAAAAUCUCCCUCCUGUGGAUGAGUAGCGACCUGAGCACUUAGCACACAUGAAGACAGACACUUCCCAUUGGGAAGCUGUUUGCUGAGCCAUUUGGAAAUCCUAAGCACUUCUGAACCCUCAACAACAACAACAACUUUUCUGCUGGACAAUACUCUGACUGAGCCUGCUUUUGGGAUAUACUGAAUUAUCCUAAAGAGCCAGGUGACUUAAGUGCCAAAUUCCUUCCUACAUUCACUGAUUUAAUUUGACCACUGAAGCUCUCCAGGCGUUUUUGGAAGCCCCAGUUGCAAUUCCAGGAACCAGUAUGUCCAAGAUGAUCCCACGGGUUGAACACUGUCAUUAAAUGCAUGACCUGUUCCUGCUGGAGGCAAACGAUGGAGUCCCUGCAGGAGUGCAGGGGAUGAGGAGGCUGUAUCACCCAUUUCAGCAGUGGAUUUUCUGUGCAGUGUGUUUUCUGUGCUAUGGAGCCAGGCCAAGACCAGUGGGGAUCGCUGAGGCCAGGGUAAAAGCCUUACAUUUCUUCCAAUAAAAGCUGAGUCUAGUGACCUGCAAAAUAUGUUGCAGAUACGUUUUCUUCAUGGAUUAAGGAGAAAGCAACCAAGAUGAUGAGGACUUGGAGCUCACAGUGACAAAGGAGGGGCUGAGAGAAUUAGACUUGUUCAGCCUCUAGAAGAAAAGAUGAAUAGGAGACCUUACUCCUGAGACAGCACCAAGAAGGCAGAUCCAGGCUCUUCUGGAAGGUGCACAGCUCUGCUGGCCAUUGCACUGACUCUUUGUGUUUCCUGGAAGGCUCUUUCAUAACCCACCUUCUCCAGCAUGAUGUUUGCUGCCUUCUGUAGGAUCUCCUGCUCCAAGAUCAACGUUUCCAUGCUACUCCUCUUUCCCUGAGACUGCUGACUUGCCGGGGGUUAAGCUGUCUCUAGAACAGCCCCUAUCCCAUUUAGCCUCUAUCCCGGGAUUUUCUUCCAUGAAAAAGGCACUGUAAAGGCUCUGGACCCUGUGCUAUGAUUUACACUUUUUCAUCUCCUGCAGAAAGCCUGCCGUGUAUGUGAUGAUACCAUUCAGCUCCGUUUACCUGAGAACUUAAAAAAAUACCAUCGGAGGUUGUUUUUUCCAUAUGGGUAAAUAGUAGGGGUGGGAGUAUUCCUUAUGGGAAACCUGGAACAGUCGCACUCUGUGGGCCUGACAUUUCCUGCUGUAAUUGAAACUUUUGAAGUUAAAAAUUCCAUUUACACAGUGUGUCUCCAAGGCAGGCGGGGAGAAGGGCAGAGGUGGGCUUGGCGUUAGUGCACGGUUUCCCCACCCCCCCCACUGCAGCCAGUUAAAUACAGCAGGUGAGUGCAGAGAUGUAAGGGCAGGAAUAUGAGGAAGGAAAUUCCAGCUGAGUUAGGUAAUUUGGGUCAGAGGAAGCCAGGCGUAGUUACAGAGGCAGGUACAGAUCAAAUCAACUCAAGGCUCUGGGUCUCUGAGCUGCCCAUGCCCUUGCCCAGGCGGGCAGGGAGCGCUGCAUCCACGUGGUCCUGUCUCCACGGGAUGUGUGACACAAACUUCCAGGCUCUGCCUCAAGAGGAUGGAAAAAUGAGGAGAAACAACUUUGUCCUCUUGCAGGUUAAAAAA
This is a non-coding RNA of Sturnus vulgaris (Common starling), 6582 nucleotides long. The record is from RefSeq and is a predicted model, not a curated record. NCBI's taxonomy places the organism in Eukaryota, Metazoa, Chordata, Aves, Passeriformes, Sturnidae.